AUUUAAGUAUUUUAUUUAAAAUAAAGAAUUGUGGUUUCUUAGAAGUUUUUUAACCUUAAGUU
RNAcentral lists this transfer RNA (62 nucleotides) under Convexana sp. 1 JW-2022a. RNAcentral's name for it is "tRNA-His". Lineage: Eukaryota; Metazoa; Arthropoda; Insecta; Hemiptera; Cicadellidae. RNAcentral also lists the same sequence under 1 other name. The record is from RNAcentral.